UACGAAGGGGGCUAGCGUUGUUCGGAAUCACUGGGCGUAAAGGGCGCGUAGGCGGCUUUAUAAGUCGGGGGUGAAAGCCUGUAGCUCAACCACAGAAUUGCCUUCGAUACUGUAGAGCUUGAGACCGGAAGAGGUAAGUGGAACUGCGAGUGUAGAGGUGAAAUUCGUAGAUAUUCGCAAGAACACCAGUGGCGAAGGCGGCUUACUGGUCCGGUUCUGACGCUGAGGCGCGAAAGCGUGGGGAGCAAACAGG
This 253-nucleotide ribosomal RNA is filed under the name uncultured bacterium. Its description in RNAcentral is "partial 16S ribosomal RNA". It matches the Rfam family "Bacterial small subunit ribosomal RNA", at positions 524 to 776 of the family's 1533-position model. The record is from RNAcentral.